CCCCUAGAUGUACGCGGCCGCACGUGUUCUACAAUGACACUAGCAACAAGUAUGUCCUGCUCCGAUAGGAGUUCGGGUAAUCUUCAUAGUUAGUGUCGUGCUUAGGAUUGUCUUUUGUAAUUAUAGGACAUGAAUUAGGAAUUCCUAGUAUAGGUACGUCAUCAUCGUGCCUAGAUUAGGUCCCUGCCCUUUGUACACACCGCCCGUCGCUCCUACCGAUCGAAGAGUUAGGUGAAUUGUUUUGAUCGAUAAGAUUUGACUAUGGUCAACUCUCGUUGUGAAAUUCUGUGAAUCUGACUGUUUAGAGGAAGGAAAAGUCGUAACA
Molecule: ribosomal RNA, 325 nt
Filed under: uncultured eukaryote
Lineage: Eukaryota
Description: partial 18S ribosomal RNA
Rfam family: Eukaryotic small subunit ribosomal RNA
Source: RNAcentral